AUGCACGCUGGCGGCGUGCCUAAUACAUGCAAGUCGAGCGAACGGACGAGAAGCUUGCUUCUCUGAUGUUAGCGGCGGACGGGUGAGUAACACGUGGAUAACCUACCUAUAAGACUGGGAUAACUUCGGGAAACCGGAGCUAAUACCGGAUAAUAUUUUGAACCGCAUGGUUCAAAAGUGAAAGACGGUCUUGCUGUCACUUAUAGAUGGAUCCGCGCUGCAUUAGCUAGUUGGUAAGGUAACGGCUUACCAAGGCAACGAUGCAUAGCCGACCUGAGAGGGUGAUCGGCCACACUGGAACUGAGACACGGUCCAGACUCCUACGGGAGGCAGCAGUAGGGAAUCUUCCGCAAUGGGCGAAAGCCUGACGGAGCAACGCCGCGUGAGUGAUGAAGGUCUUCGGAUCGUAAAACUCUGUUAUUAGGGAAGAACAUAUGUGUAAGUAACUGUGCACAUCUUGACGGUACCUAAUCAGAAAGCCACGGCUAACUGCGUG
RNAcentral lists this ribosomal RNA (496 nucleotides) under uncultured bacterium. RNAcentral describes it as "partial 16S ribosomal RNA". It matches the Rfam family "Bacterial small subunit ribosomal RNA", at positions 29 to 507 of the family's 1533-position model. The record is from RNAcentral.